UACGAAGGUCCCAAGCGUUGUUCGGAAUCACUGGGCGUAAAGGGAGCGUAGGCGGCGCGGUAAGUCAGAUGUGAAAUCCCGGGGCUCAACCCCGGAACUGCAUCCGAUACUGCCGUGCUUGAGGGUUGGAGAGGUAGCUGGAAUUCUCGGUGUAGCAGUGAAAUGCGUGGAUAUCGAGAGGAACACUCGUGGCGAAGGUGAGCUACUGGACAACAUCUGACGUUGAGGCUCGAAGGCCAGGGGAGCAAAAGGG
Molecule: ribosomal RNA, 253 nt
Filed under: uncultured bacterium
Lineage: Bacteria
Description: partial 16S ribosomal RNA
Rfam family: Bacterial small subunit ribosomal RNA
Source: RNAcentral